RNAcentral lists this transfer RNA (72 nucleotides) under Julbernardia paniculata. Its description in RNAcentral is "tRNA-Thr". Lineage: Eukaryota; Viridiplantae; Streptophyta; Magnoliopsida; Fabales; Fabaceae. The record is from RNAcentral.
GGUUCAAAUCCGAUAAGGGGCUUUUUUGCAUAAAAACCCAACGGUAGUAUUUCUAUUUGAGGGGAGAGGAAA